AAUAAAAAACAAACAAACAAAAGAAGUGUAACAGAUAGAAAGGACUCUUUUCUUAAUUUGCAGUGAUACCCAAGCAUUGUGAACAAGCUCUGUCAACACCAUCUGCUCCACAAAGGAAAGCUGCUGAUUAUUGCAUCUCUAAGUGGAGUCGAUUCUCUCCCAUGAUAGCAGAAGGUUGAAGAAAGAAAAUGGCAAAAUAGAAAAGUCCAUGCUUACAGAAACCAGGGGAGUAGGAGGAAGAAAUUCUGUCUUCACGAUACAGAAAACAUCUGCAUUGGAUGGCGACAUCGUCAUUUCCCUCUCCAGAUCCAGUUCCACUCUUCCUUCCUUGAUGCGCGGAUGGAGACUUAUGCAGAUGCCAUCCCCAUACUUUCUGCUUCUAGC
Molecule: long non-coding RNA, 384 nt
Filed under: Macaca nemestrina (pig-tailed macaque)
Lineage: Eukaryota; Metazoa; Chordata; Mammalia; Primates; Cercopithecidae
Description: lncRNA (ENSMNEG00000045801.1)
Source: RNAcentral